This 341-nucleotide unclassified non-coding RNA is filed under the name soil metagenome. RNAcentral's name for it is "partial contains 5.8S ribosomal RNA, internal transcribed spacer 2, and large subunit ribosomal RNA". The stretch from base 1 to 120 matches the Rfam family "5.8S ribosomal RNA", at positions 35 to 154 of the family's 154-position model. The record is from RNAcentral.
GAUGAAGAACGCAGCGAAAUGCGAUAAGUAGUGUGAAUUGCAGAAUUCAGUGAAUCAUCGAAUCUUUGAACGCACAUUGCGCCCUUUGGUAUUCCAAAGGGCAUGCCUGUUCGAGCGUCAUUUGUACCCUCAAGCUUUGCUUGGUGUUGGGCGUCUUGUCUCUAGCUUUGCUGGAGACUCGCCUUAAAGUAAUUGGCAGCCGGCCUACUGGUUUCGGAGCGCAGCACAAGUCGCACUCUCUAUCAGCAAAGGUCUAGCAUCCAUUAAGCCUUUUUUUUAACUUUUGACCUCGGAUCAGGUAGGGAUACCCGCUGAACUUAAGCAUAUCAAUAAGCGGAGGA